GUCUGCAUCAUAGCUCGGUUUGUAGAGUAUGAGACUCCUAAUCUCAAGGUCAUGGGUUCAAGCCCCAUGCUGAACA
This is a non-coding RNA of Podarcis lilfordi (Lilford's wall lizard), 76 nucleotides long. NCBI's taxonomy places the organism in Eukaryota, Metazoa, Chordata, Lepidosauria, Squamata, Lacertidae. The record is from the annotation of a GenBank genome assembly.